This 496-nucleotide ribosomal RNA is filed under the name uncultured bacterium. RNAcentral's name for it is "partial 16S ribosomal RNA". It matches the Rfam family "Bacterial small subunit ribosomal RNA", at positions 28 to 507 of the family's 1533-position model. The record is from RNAcentral.
GAUGAACGCUGGCGGCGUGCCUAAUACAUGCAAGUCGAGCGAACAGACGAGGAGCUUGCUCCUUUGACGUUAGCGGCGGACGGGUGAGUAACACGUGGGUAACCUACCUAUAAGACUGGGAUAACUUCGGGAAACCGGAGCUAUACCGGAUAAUAUUUCGAACCGCAUGGUUCGAUAGUGAAAGAUGGCUCUGCUAUCACUUAUAGAUGGACCUGCGCCGUAUUAGCUAGUUGGUAAGGUAACGGCUUACCAAGGCAACGAUACGUAGCCGACCUGAGAGGGUGAUCGGCCACACUGGAACUGAGACACGGUCCAGACUCCUACGGGAGGCAGCAGUAGGGAAUCUUCCGCAAUGGGCGAAAGCCUGACGGAGCAACGCCGCGUGAGUGAUGAAGGUCUUCGGAUCGUAAAACUCUGUUAUUAGGGAAGAACAAACGUGUAAGUAACUGUGCACGUCUUGACGGUACCUAAUCAGAAAGCCACGGCUAACUACGUG